GUCUGGGAUAGCUCAGCUGGGAGAGCAUGAGACUCUUAACCCCGGGGUCAUAGGUUUGAGCCCCAUGUUGAGACU
Podarcis lilfordi (Lilford's wall lizard) is the source of this 75-nucleotide non-coding RNA. The record is from the annotation of a GenBank genome assembly. NCBI's taxonomy places the organism in Eukaryota, Metazoa, Chordata, Lepidosauria, Squamata, Lacertidae.